This 87-nucleotide transfer RNA is filed under the name Candidatus Falkowbacteria bacterium RIFOXYA2_FULL_35_8. RNAcentral describes it as "tRNA-Leu". It matches the Rfam family "tRNA". Rfam says of the family: Transfer RNA (tRNA) molecules are approximately 80 nucleotides in length. Their secondary structure includes four short double-helical elements and three loops (D, anti-codon, and T loops). Further hydrogen bonds mediate the characteristic L-shaped molecular structure. tRNAs have two regions of fundamental functional importance: the anti-codon, which is responsible for specific mRNA codon recognition, and the 3' end, to which the tRNAs corresponding amino acid is attached (by aminoacyl-tRNA synthetases). tRNAs cope with the degeneracy of the genetic code in two manners: having more than one tRNA (with a specific anti-codon) for a particular amino acid; and 'wobble' base-pairing, i.e. permitting non-standard base-pairing at the 3rd anti-codon position. RNAcentral also lists the same sequence under 2 other names. The record is from RNAcentral. Lineage: Bacteria; Candidatus Falkowiibacteriota.
GCCCAGGUGGUGGAAUCGGUAUACACACUAGGUUGAGGGCCUAGGCUCCUUUGGGGCGUGCGGGUUCAAGUCCCGCUCUGGGCACCA